Molecule: ribosomal RNA, 253 nt
Filed under: uncultured bacterium
Lineage: Bacteria
Description: partial 16S ribosomal RNA
Rfam family: Bacterial small subunit ribosomal RNA
Source: RNAcentral
UACAGAGGUCUCAAGCGUUGUUCGGAAUUACUGGGCGUAAAGGGUGCGCAGGCCGCGCGGGCAGUCAAAUGUGUAAUCCAGGGGCUCAACCCCUGAACUGCGCUUGAUACUUCCGCGCUCGAGCUUUGGAGAGGAGUCUGGAAUUCUCGGUGUAGCAGUGAAAUGCGUAGAUAUCGAGAGGAACACCAGUGGCGAAGGCGAGUCUCUGGACGACUCCUGACACUGAGGCACGAAAGCUGGGGGAGCAAACAGG